Molecule: ribosomal RNA, 1372 nt
Filed under: uncultured bacterium
Lineage: Bacteria
Description: bacterial SSU rRNA
Rfam family: Bacterial small subunit ribosomal RNA
Source: RNAcentral
GAUGAACGCUGGCGGCGUGCCUAAUACAUGCAAGUCGAGCGAACGGACGAGAAGCUUGCUUCUCUGAUGUUAGCGGCGGACGGGUGAGUAACACGUGGAUAACCUACCUAUAAGACUGGGAUAACUUCGGGAAACCGGAGCUAAUACCGGAUAAUAUUUUGAACCGCAUGGUUCAAAAGUGAAAGACGGUCUUGCUGUCACUUAUAGAUGGAUCCGCGCUGCAUUAGCUAGUUGGUAAGGUAACGGCUUACCAAGGCAACGAUGCAUAGCCGACCUGAGAGGGUGAUCGGCCACACUGGAACUGAGACACGGUCCAGACUCCUACGGGAGGCAGCAGUAGGGGAUCUUCCGCAAUGGGCGAAAGCCUGACGGAGCAACGCCGCGUGAGUGAUGAAGGUCUUCGGAUCGUAAAACUCUGUUAUUAGGGAAGAACAUAUGUGUAAGUAACUGUGCACAUCUUGACGGUACCUAAUCAGAAAGCCACGGCUAACUACGUGCCAGCAGCCGCGGUAAUACGUAGGUGGCAAGCGUUAUCCGGAAUUAUUGGACGUAAAGCGCGCGUAGGCGGUUUUUUAAGUCUGAUGUGAAAGCCCACGGCUCAACCGUGGAGGGUCAUUGGAAACUGGAAAACUUGAGUGCAGAAGAGGAAAGUGGAAUUCCAUGUGUAGCGGUGAAAUGCGCAGAGAUAUGGAGGAACACCAGUGGCGAAGGCGACUUUCUGGUCUGUAACUGACGCUGAUGUGCGAAAGCGUGGGGAUCAAACAGGAUUAGAUACCCUGGUAGUCCACGCCGUAAACGAUGAGUGCUAAGUGUUAGGGGGUUUCCGCCCCUUAGUGCUGCAGCUAACGCAUUAAGCACUCCGCCUGGGGAGUACGACCGCAAGGUUGAAACUCAAAGGAAUUGACGGGGACCCGCACAAGCGGUGGAGCAUGUGGUUUAAUUCGAAGCAACGCGAAGAACCUUACCAAAUCUUGACAUCCUUUGACAACUCUAGAGAUAGAGCCUUCCCCUUCGGGGGACAAAGUGACAGGUGGUGCAUGGUUGUCGUCAGCUCGUGUCGUGAGAUGUUGGGUUAAGUCCCGCAACGAGCGCAACCCUUAAGCUUAGUUGCCAUCAUUAAGUUGGGCACUCUAAGUUGACUGCCGGUGACAAACCGGAGGAAGGUGGGGAUGACGUCAAAUCAUCAUGCCCCUUAUGAUUUGGGCUACACACGUGCUACAAUGGACAAUACAAAGGGCAGCGAAACCGCGAGGUCAAGCAAAUCCCAUAAAGUUGUUCUCAGUUCGGAUUGUAGUCUGCAACCCGACUACAUGAAGCUGGAAUCGCUAGUAAUCGUAGAUCAGCAUGCUACGGUGAAUACGUUCCCGGGUCU